This is a long non-coding RNA of Triticum aestivum (bread wheat), 533 nucleotides long. RefSeq lists it as uncharacterized. The transcript has 3 exons. The record is from RefSeq and is a predicted model, not a curated record. Lineage: Eukaryota; Viridiplantae; Streptophyta; Magnoliopsida; Poales; Poaceae.
GCAGACUUGGCUGUACAAGACCCUCGCUGCUCUACUUUCGCACGUCUUGCUACAAGUUGCUACGCACUCUGUACCCAGCUUGGAGACAUCUUCUCGUAUUUUGCUUGGAAAGGCAGAAUCUCCAGAAUCCAUAGUCGUCCAGACCUGCGUAGCGAUGAUCAGUACAGCCAGACAUCUGUGAACUUCGUUGAGACGGAACCUGCAAAUUGAAUUCGUCUCCUGUUUAAAGACGAGAAGAUAAAAGGGCAGCACGGGAUGUGAGUGGUGUCCAUCUACCGUGCGAGUCUGGCGCUCGGAUGGCGCGACAUGUGCUGCGGAGUGGGCUCCCUCGGUCUCCGGCAGAUCUGGAGCCUUCGGUCUCCGGUGGGCGCGCGUGGCACACAUUGGCGCUUCUGAUGCAUGGCUGCAGCCGAGAACUGUGGUGGUUCUUGACCGGGCGGGGCGGCUCAUGCUAUGUCCGAUGGCCCUGGUUCUGGUUGGUAGUUGAUGGAUCCGGUGGGUGGUGCUGGUGAUUGGCCGCCGGUGGUCUCAGC